Long non-coding RNA from Oreochromis aureus, 4306 nucleotides. The record is from Ensembl. Lineage: Eukaryota; Metazoa; Chordata; Actinopteri; Cichliformes; Cichlidae.
GUUUUUAAUCACAUAUAUUGACAGUUUCAUGAUACAGAGGAGAGCGACUCAGAAAGUGUCUGUCCAGGGUGGGAGGGGUCACUCUCAGGGUCCUGGAGGUGUCCAGGUGUUGGAGAGAAGGAAGACUGCAAACACCUUCUCAGCCAAAUGGACGACACACUGCAGCAGAAAGACUUCACAGUCUCCACUCAUGUAGGAUGAUGGAGGCUGGUGGGGCUGGUUCCUCCUGCAGACGUUCCAACAGCUGCAGUUCCUCUAACAGCCACUUGAAGCUGACUCCAAAUGUGAGUGAAUAUUUACAGUUUUCAGGGUCUGUGUUCAAACUUUAAACCUGAGGGACUGAAAUAAACCCAGGUGUGAAUCCAGAGAGUCUCAUGUGUGGUGUGUGAGUGUGGAGUAGGUCUGGUCCUGGUCCCUGGCGGCUGGAUGGAGGCUCUGGUAGGUCGAGUCUUCACGUGUAGAACCUGGAGUACAGUUCUCGUAGUGGGACGUCCUAAAACAGAGACACACUGUCUUCUUCACAUAACAAGAACAGACUCUGACUUGGUGAAAUCAUUUGUGCUGGUAAAUAUUUCCAUGUUGCCUCGUUGAACCUCUCAGACAACAGUGUCUCUGUUUGUUGUUGGAGUCUCCGUCUGGGCGGCCAUUUUUGUCACCUACCUGUUUGAAUUCACCUUCUUGGAUUGUAAUUUCUGGAACAGUCUACAAACUGAACCAUCACACUGUGACUGCUUUAUUUCUUUGUUACGGUAGCAGUCUGUCAGCAGUGAGAGGAAACAAAGAGAAAGAAAGUCACCUCCAUGUUUGUGCCCUCUGAGUUUCCUCUGGUCCUCAAACCUGUGGAACAAACAGGAUGUUCCUCUGUUAGAAGGACCAAUCAUUCAAAGUGCACCUGAGGAAGAAACACGAGAGAUCAUUCAGAAUUAUUCACUUUGGUUAUGAGCAGUCUGAUAUCUGGAUUUUUAUAUAUCUGUUUAUUUAUUGUUUCUCCCACUGUCUGCUCCUCUGCUCUGUGUUUCCAUUUUCCUCUCUGACUUUGCUCCGUUUAUAUUUUGUUCUUUUCUGCAAGUUUCCAGCAAUGAAGCUGAAGUGAUUUCACAUCCUGACUCCUGAAUAUUGGAGCCAGAACCUGCCUCAGUGCAGAAUCACAUGACAUGUACUUGAUAACACACAAGCCUGAAUCAGUCAGUUUUCACUCUGUCAGCUCAGUGGUAAAAAGCAUAGCCUGUAUAUUAAAGAUGGAAUUAUCUGCUGUAAUGUCAGCUGUUGCUUUGUGCACUCCUGUUAUAAAAGCCUCAGUUCAGCUUGUUGGCUGCAGCAGGAAAGUGUUUACUGAGGUCACAGUGAGCAGUCAGCUCAUAGAUACAAGCAGCCAUAACCAGAGUCGUCUGUGGUGAACGCCUGUGUUUAACUGAAUGAGCUGAAUGUCAGAUCCUGUUUGUCUUCCUGUUUUCUCUGUGAUGUUUCUUUGACCUUGAAGUUUCCCAGAUAUGUACUAAUCAUGUUGACCUCUUUCUUCUUCACCUCUCUGCUUUACUAAUUCCUGAGUCAAUAUCUUAUUUUAAACUCAUGAAAACUGUGCACGGUCUCUUCUUCUAUAGGAAAAGACGAAUACAUGAUGCAUUCUUAAAGGGAUUUUUCAUUUUUGUAUUUUUUGUGCUUUCUAACAUGUUUCUUAACAUCAUUGGACCAUAACAUAAUUCAUUUAUAUAGCACAGUAAAAACAACACAUGGUCGACCAAAGUGCUGUACAUCAGUGCAGCAGAUCUGCCUGAGAAAUAUUCUGCUAUUGUGUUUCUCUCUUUCCUUUCUCUCCCUCUGUCACCUGGGCAGAGUUCACUGUGGGCUCCCACCUUUGGCCUACAUACCUGGGAGACGAGUAACACCUGCGUCUCAUUAACUGGCCUCUACUUAAGUGAGACUGCUCUUCACUGGAUUGUUGCUUGACUUGUGUCAGUGAAAUCCUGUCUAGGACACUGCUAAUCUAGUUCCCUUGUGUACAGACCUGCCCUUGUUCCUUACGGAGAUUCUGGUGUGAGAGAGGAGUGAGAGAUUGGUGAGAUGCCAAGAGAGACAGAAGGGGAGUGAGAGUGUUCCCCUGCAGAUUCCCUGGAGCCCUGAUCCCUGAUCCCUGCACUCUUGUAUAGCACUUUGUCACUGUGGCACAUUUCACCUGGUGUUAGUGAAUAAAGCCUCUGUUCUUCCUUUGAGCAAAGGAGUCCUGCGUUUGAGUCCCUCCAGUUACCGUAACAAUAAGUAUCAAUAAAAUAACAGAGUCAGUUACGCACUGAGUCAAAAGCCUGUUAAUAGAAAUGAGUUUUUAACCUGGAUUUAAAGGCCAACACUGAAGCAGAUUGCAGUUCAAAGCUUCGGGGCCACGAUGGAGAACGCUCGGUCUCCUCUCAGCCGUUAUUUAGGGACUGAGAGCAACAGCUGAGCAACUGACCGGAGUGAUUGGGGAGAGAAGGAGCAGAUCUGACAAAUAUACAGGCGCCAGACCAGUUAAGGAUUUAAAAACCAGUAAAAGGAUUUUAAAUUAGAUCCUAAAUUCAACUGGAAGCCAGUGUAAGGACAUCAGAACCAGAGUAAUAUACUCAAAUGUUCUUUUACCAGUUAAAACUGUGCUGCAGCACGUAAAUGAAGGGCAGUCUGUUAAUAUUUUUUUGCACUUAAAUCAAUGAAUUAACAAAGCAGUGAAUCGUGUCCUUCCUCCUGAAUGCUCCACCUCUCACUAAACCAAUCAGAGUACUGAGCAGUAAGAACUGAAACAGAGACUCAGUCUGAUCCUCCUGAAAUCACCCACGCUGCAUGUGUGUUUGGUUACCUCAGGUUUUGAGCCUAACAUCUAUCCGUGUCCUCAAACCAAAGCGUGCAGACGAGUCACAAAGAAAAAGUCAGAGAAAAUAUUUUUGUUUCACUGCAGCUUUGACAAGUGACAUAAAGUUAGUUUCAGAUUUUGAUCAUAAAUGGAAAAUUCUGUUGUUGCUGUAUCUUUGUUGUCUUACCUCUGUUGCUCUUCCUCUUAAUGCAGAUUAUUAGAACAGCCAGUGAUGAGAGGACGAUGAUGAUGAUGAUGAUGAUGAUGACAGCCACAGUCAGACCCACAGGCAGCGAAACACCUGCAGCAGAUUCAGAAGACUAGUCGUGUACAGAGGAGGAUUUUUAAAAACCUGUGGACACAAUUGUACCUUCAGGUGUUUUCUCAGGCUGCUCCGUGGUUACACUCGAGGUGAGUGAAGGUGAGAAGGCUGAUUGGACGACUGCUGAAACAGGUCAGAGAGUGAAGUUUAGAUGUGGUUCUUAUUUAAAAGCAGAGAUCUGAGAAAAAGCAGCCCGCUCACACACUCAGAGUCACACAUCACUGUGUGUCACACGACUGCUGCAGUGUCACUGUGAGUAAGGAUGUUUGUAACAUCACAUCUUUGACAUCACAGUAGGCAGGUAUCAUUGUUCAGCAUGCUGGGUGUAUUUUAACUGACAUAAUAUUCUUUCUGAAUAUAGCCAAACAUUAAUAUGUGUCCAAACCAGUGCAUGAAACCAAGACACAAACACAAAAUCCCUCAGAGUGGACACAGACUGCUGUCUUCAAACGUUGUGACCUUUCCCACCACCUGAUGUUGUAGCACUUUAACAAAAGGACAGCUCAGUCCUCCUGCAGCCAGUUUGGAAAUGACCGAGUUAAAGAACACCUCUUUCUUAAAGGUGAGACACCAGCAGCGUCUGAUAGAUCAGCAGUAUCUGACAUCUGGGAUAAAAGUGUAAAGAAAGAUUCUGAAAUUCAGAUUUUAUAAUAGCAUCAAGUUUUGAUAGUGCUCCAGAAAAACUGUCAAAUUAGAUUUUAGUUGCAGAAAAAGUGCAAAUCAUUAUCUACAGUGUGGCUGUUAGAUAAUAUGUCUGGUUAUCUGAAACACCAGCAGCUAUCAAUGACUAAAUUAGCAACAUUAAAAACAUUUUCAGGGAAAACUCACCAUCUGUGACGUUGAUCUCAAAGAGUCUGAAUGAAGCUUGACCAGAAGAUGGAUUCAGAGAACAUCUGUACUGUCCUGAGUCAGACUCAGUCAGCUGUGUGAUUGUCACAUACACAAUUCCUCCUCCUCCAUAUGUCUCCUCUGAAGUUCCUCUAAAUCCAAUUCUGUAUCUGUCUUUGGAAGCAUCUUCAUCAUCUGUUUGAAGAAGAACCUCGUCCUCUCCACAUUCUCCCCUGCAGAAGAACUUUUGUCCUCCAGACGGAUUAAAGGAACAUCCGACUGUGAGAGAGCUUCCAGUUUCUUUAUUGAAGUGUUUCAGCUGAGCAGGAUCGUUUCCA